Molecule: long non-coding RNA, 722 nt
Organism: Zingiber officinale
Lineage: Eukaryota; Viridiplantae; Streptophyta; Magnoliopsida; Zingiberales; Zingiberaceae
Exons: 3
Source: RefSeq, a predicted model, not a curated record
UCGAAGCCUAACUCCUUUCUCCGCCCGUUCCUUUUCUCCUUCUUCCUCGCGCCGGUUUCCUCUCCCAAACCCGAUCUUCUCCUCAUCUCUCUCGCGUGCACACACUCUCCCCUCUGCCGCCGGCGACGAGAGCCGCCUCUCCUCUACUCUGCACAGAGUCGACGUCGGACGGAAGUGCCGCCGAUCUUCCUUGUGUGCCCUAGCGCCGCGGCUUCCUCUGCCCUAGCCUGACCGAUCCCCCUUCUCCUCUUCCGAGCGCCGGCAGCCGGCCAAGCUCCUUUGCCCUAGCGUCGACAGUCGAGCCCUCUUCGUCGGGAGACCAUGUGUCAAGUCGUGCCCUAGUCUCCAGCCGACGUCUCCUCGCGAGUAGUCCGAGUCCCUUCCACCUAUGACCACUACAAGAGCUAGCCCACUAGUGUCGAGUUUCCUCUCGCACCUUUGCCAAGAUUCCACCAGCCAACCUCACUGUGACCAAGCACUGUCACCGGAUCCUUAUCACCUCCGACCAGUGGAGAGGAAGAGCAACUAGUUGAGGGUUGUGGAGCAACAAAUACGGCUGAGAGGGCAAGGAAUUCCAGCCUAGUCUUUCCCUCUGUUAAAUCUCCGGUAGAGAGGAAGAACUUGGCACCGUUGCAGACCGUUGGUAGCAAUAUUCUUUGGGAAGCAACCUUUGGCAGCAACUUCUCCGACAGUGAGUUAUCGACUGAGGCAUUCAACUCAGG